This 1762-nucleotide long non-coding RNA is filed under the name Zostera marina. Its description in RNAcentral is "long non-coding RNA (ZMAR_LNC002122)". Lineage: Eukaryota; Viridiplantae; Streptophyta; Magnoliopsida; Alismatales; Zosteraceae. The record is from RNAcentral.
CCCUGUCGCCUGUCACAUAUUGAGCUCGAUGUUCUUCCUCUUCGUUGUUCAAAGUCUAUUAGUUUUUGUUUAUGUCAGUGACCUAGGUUGUCUUCUGUGAUAAAUUUCGUUUUCCCAUUUUGUUUUUCUUGUCUCGUCUUCCUCCCGUCAUCUAUUUCUUAAUAACUCAUUAGGGUUUCAUCGAUUUCUGAAGAUCGGUCGUCGGCCUUCACUGAGAAUAGGUCAGUAAGUAUAAUUUUUUGUUAUUGUACUAUUAAAAUGAUUUAUCUUCCCAUUUAGUAGUACUAUUGUAACAUCCGUAACCCAUUCUUGCCAAAAUCCCUUACGUUUUCUUGGUAGCAAGUUCAGAUUUCCCAAAAUGUCGAUUCUCCAUACCUUCUCAGUUGCAUUAAUAAUUUGAUACAGAGAAUGCAGUAGGGUCAUAUUAGUUCUGAACAAACUGUAAAACUUUAAAAUACAGAGGUUCUGGUGGACUUUCUCACAACUCGUUCACCCUCUAAAUCUUCUGGAACUUCUUGCUGUUCGGAAUCAAUAGGAUCUUCAGAUUUUACAACCUCUGAUGAUCUUUCUAAUUUUGUAAGGUUCUUUUUAUUUUUUUUCAUUUUUGCAGAUUUUCCAGGAAAUAUUAAUUUCUUCUUUGUCUUCACCCUAUGGAAAAAAUAUAUAGCGGUGAUUAGUAAGAUCAGAUAAAAAGACUAUUUGCCCAAUCCCACGUAGUGUAGCGUGUAGCAUUGAAAGCUUUGUUGUGUGACACAACUCAUUCAAAUGGUUAAAAGUUCAAACCUGACGUCACAAAUAUCAAAAGAACAAUAUUCUUUUUUGAUCAUAUAAUGCGUUAUUCAAUUUCCAUUAAUAUGAAUAAAAAAUAUUAACUACAAACCAAAUUAGCUAAAACUAUCUAUACAACAAAUUGUUAACUAAGUUGCAGCAUGCUAAGGAAUCAGAGAUAGAGACUUCCUAAUCCCUAUAACUCAAAUCCUCCUUUGAAUCAGUUUACAUCCAGUAGAGAGAAUGGCUAGCGUCCAACAGAGAUAAGCCAGCACCCAACAACACAUUUCAGUAUUACAUCUGGACCAAAUUCGUUGGGAGAACUCACAAUUAAAUAACAAAUGUUUCAAAUCGUCCUCAGCAUUCUUGCAUAGAACACACCUUCUGUCUUAAGAAGGCCACCAUCAGCUACUGCAAUCUUUUGCGAUAUGCUUACCCCACCUAGUACGCCAACCACACAAGGAAAACUUAUGGAUGCCAUUGGCCCACAAACCACAAACCAUCAGAGUAUUUGUCCUCUAAAUCCUUGACCCUAAUAGAUUCUCAAAUGAAAGCAAAGUGAAUGUAUAUUUCAUCCCUUAACACAGACUGAUGUAGAAGCACAUAGGCGAAGUUCAGAACAAACUUUAGAACCCAUCGUAUGUAAAUCGAUUCCUCUAGAAUAAGUUGUUAACACUACUCUCUCCAAAUUAAAGGAUUGAAGAGAUGAGUGUGAAUUUUUAUUAUGUUUUUUAUAAAAAGGAACUUUGGUUAGAUCAUUGUUGAUUAAUCGGACAGAUAUAUGAACUAAACAUAAUUUGAUACAUGCAGUUAGGUGAUGAUCAUACCUUUUUUUAUGCUAUACGCCCACACUAUCAUAAUUCUGUCAAUUUCAUAUAAAACUUUUGUUAGGUCAUACUCCAAGUUCAUCAACAUUUAUGGCAUAUGUUACAGAGUUAUGAAACUUUUGCAAUGUUCAUUUUUGCAGGACUACGCUUUAUUUCAUCAGGAUCCA